AAAUGACUCUCGACAAUGGAUAUCYUGACUCUCGCAUCGAUAAAGAAUGUAGCAAAAUGUGAKACKUGGUGUGAAUUGCAGAAUCCCGUGAACCAUCGAGUCUUUGAACGCAAGUUAGGCCUGAAGCCGCUAGGCCGAGGGCACGUCUGCCUGGGUGUCACGU
This 163-nucleotide ribosomal RNA is filed under the name Piptadeniopsis lomentifera. RNAcentral's name for it is "5.8S ribosomal RNA". It matches the Rfam family "5.8S ribosomal RNA". Rfam says of the family: 5.8S ribosomal RNA (5.8S rRNA) is a component of the large subunit of the eukaryotic ribosome. Lineage: Eukaryota; Viridiplantae; Streptophyta; Magnoliopsida; Fabales; Fabaceae. The record is from RNAcentral.